AUGGACACGACAGGGCCGACGACCGAGCAGCCGCAGCCACCUAGCGUCAUCCAACAGGUCCGCGGCCACGCAAUCUCCGGUGCCAUCUUCGGCUCCGUAUACAAGUUCCUCGAGGGCGCCACCAACUCGCCGAGCGGGAGCCGCCUCUCCGGCGGGGCUCUGGCGGUCCGCAGCAACACGCUCAGGAUCGGCAGCUUUGCGGCCUGGUAUGGCGCCGCCAAGUCGGUCAGGUGCGCCGUGGCCCCGGACUACCCCUUUGAAACCACGGUCGCCUGGAGCGUCACCGACGCCCUCUUCUCCGUGCGCCACGGGCUGCGCGCGGCCGGCCGCUCCGGCCUCAGAGGAGCCGUCGUUGGCGUGGUCCCCGACAUGCUUGAAUAUAGCUUACAACGCUACCUUGCCUCGCGUCCACGGGCAGACGAUCGCUGCAUCCCACCUGAGUAG
RNAcentral lists this ribosomal RNA (444 nucleotides) under Triticum aestivum (bread wheat). RNAcentral's name for it is "partial small subunit ribosomal RNA". Lineage: Eukaryota; Viridiplantae; Streptophyta; Magnoliopsida; Poales; Poaceae. The record is from RNAcentral.